UACCAGCGACGAGUCUCUACUCCUAAUGGAGCAGCAGAUCGGUCUCCGUCGCCAACCAGACCUUCGCACGCCCGAUCCAGCCCUACGCCCCCUCCACGGCCGAUCCAUCCCCGUGCCGCGGCCGAUCCAUGCCCUAUGCCGCCGCCGAUGCCUCCUCCUCCACCUCCAUUCCCAAGCGAGGGCGCCCGCGGCCGCGGUCUUCUCCCCCAGCCACCAUGGCUGCAGAUCCACUCACGGCCGGUCGUCUAAGCUGCAAGCAUGGAUGGAUGGAUCCAGGAAGGUAUCCUUCCUCCCUGGGUGGAGCGAGCUGCACAUCCCAUUCGGCCCUCUGUAGUCGGCCAUCUCCGCCUCCUCCUCGCCGUCGCCGCCGCCGGGGAUCGCGUCUUCACCAAGCGCGAGCUCCGCCCCAUCCGACCGACCGCAAAGGGGUUGUCCAUUGUAAAUUUUCAAGGAGAUUCAAAUGUUCCUCUUCUGGAUGAUUGAAGGGAUACUUGAAGCUAGGGCAAUCCAAGUAAGAUAGCUUCAUCCUCAGGCAACAGGUUUAUGUUACCUUAUCAUGGAGUCAUUUUUAAGUUUGUGCCCAACGCCUUCAUCCUUAGAAUGGCUGCCCAGAUGGCAAGCCACCGUACUCAGGCGACUGCCGCGCUAGCAGGGUGCUCCAACUUUUGAUGCUGGCGAAGCUUUUGGAAUGAUGGCUACAUAAUUUGUUAGUCUCCGUUGGAAGCUUAAUUAAACUGAGGUUCAGAUGUGUGGCAAAGGAUUUCAAUUUUCCUGUUUACACAAAGGAAACUUGAGGAAGGUUCAGAUUUCUCAUGCUCGGUGCUGUGCUCUCAAGGUUACAUAGACAAGAAUGCCUCCUAUUUACACAACGGCAACCCGACGAAGGAUGACGGGGCGGGUCGGGAGGCGGGGAAAGCCGUCCAUGGCGAUCCUGGUGGCGUUGCUAAUGGCGUUAGUGGCACUGCCGCUCCUCAUGGUGCCCGACACGCUCUCUAUGCCAGGCUCCAACGGCGUGGAUCGCGGCGCCGCCCUGUCGCUCCCACGCCCGUGCUUCAGCAGAUCCGUGUUUGAGUCGUGCAUACCUUUAGCCGCCUCCCCUCCAAUGUCCACGACUCUGAUAUACCGUGUUUGUUAGUCUUGACUGGUGUUUGUUCUCCGUAUUGUUGUGCAGGAGGCUGGAGAACAGCAGGGAGAAAAGGGAGUCGUGGAUGGAGGUUCUGUACUUCUGUUGUAUCAACAUCUUCUCCAUGAGUCUUUUGCCCCCACUCUGUUUUUGGUUUGGGCCGAAACGUCAUCGUCUUGAUUCUUUACGUGGUUCAUUGGCUCAGACUUGUCCUACAUGGCCAAGCGAGAUCGAGGCUAGCCGCCGGUAAUGUUCUUCUCCCGUGCAAGUUCCGCACUGCAUUGAAGCAUCCAACACAUGAUGUAGCUACGUUACAGGUGGGACAUCAGCCAAGUAUGUUUCGAGGUGAGACAUCCAUCAAGUUUGUUUGGAGAAAAUAAGGGCCUUAGAAGAAAAUAAAAAAAAAUUGUGCAGUCCAGCUCCUGCGUGCUGGUCACCGAGCUCCACUGUGUCCAGCUCAUCCGACCAUGUGCUCCACUGCAUCUAGGUCAGCCGAUCUUGUGGCAGAGCUACACUGACGCAAGAGCAAAUAGUUUUACAAUUUCUUUGUUGUUCCUUUGUACUGGAUAACUGUGCAUUUUUAGAGGUGUGAAGAUGUAAUGCAAUAACAGUAACUGGGCGUAGGCACAUCCGUCUCGAUAAGCAUUAUGGGAACGGACAAAGGCAAGGUAUUCCAAUGUAAGAAAUGGAUGAAGGCAAGGUAUGUCAUUCUAAAAAAGGCAAGGCAUACCAGGAUGCUGCAUUGCUUAAUGUUCAGUUCUCUACGCUUUCCCUAUAGCAACCUUUUUUAGAUCUUAUGAGUUGUGUUUUCCUAACAAAAAAAUGUCCAUAUGGAUUCACUGAAACAAGAUUAUAUUAUCAGCAAUUCUGUUUGCAUGUAAUUAAUUAGUGAUAGCCUAUGCCUCACACGACUAUUUUUUCCAGUUCAGUUGUAUCCUUCAAUAUGGGUGCAAUGAAGUGUGGAUAGACAAACACAUUUCUUUUACUGUGAUAUCAUUGACCUUGUUGAUUUAUAUUUUCAAAACUGAUAGGAAUGAAAUCCAUAUGAAUCUUGUGAUGCCAAAGCUCUAAGUGCUGAUGAUUUAAAUUCCUAUUAAAAAAUCCUUAAAUAGAAAGUGGACCUUAUAGCGGAGAAUAAUGUGUAAGCUACAGGUGGAGUCCAUCUCAAGGGAAGUGAAACCGAAAACAUAGACCACAUUAGAGUCGAAGAUAAGGUGAAUGCAAUCACAGAUCCACAUGAGAGUCAGAUAAGAUUGGUGAAUGCAAUCAGAACUGUCAAAUGUGUGUUUUCCAAUUUUUCAUGCCGCAUGAUCUCUGCCCACUUUACUAGAAGAAGAGCCUUCCUACAUGGUGAAGGUGGAUAAGGAGCCAUUCAACUUAGAGGAAGUGUCUCAAUAAAUGUGUGUGUUACCAAGGUUGAAUUGUCUACUCGCUCUCUUGGAGGUUAUGUUCCUUCCCGUCUAUUAAGCUGUUAGUAUCCU
Molecule: long non-coding RNA, 2604 nt
Organism: Triticum aestivum (bread wheat)
Lineage: Eukaryota; Viridiplantae; Streptophyta; Magnoliopsida; Poales; Poaceae
Exons: 9
Source: RefSeq, a predicted model, not a curated record